UUCCAUCAAAUUAAAAUAUGGCCACCUCUAAAAUUGCAGCCAUGCUCAUGAUUUGUCUUUUCUGGAGCUCUUUUAUUGCUGAAUGUAAGUUUGAUCUGCAUUAAUAUUUUUAUUUUUUUGAAGUAACAUUAAUAUUUAUUGUUGAUUUUAUCAGGCAUGAAGUGUUUGCACACAUCUAUUACACUUGAUUGUAAUUUGUUUAAUUAUGCAGGUGAAUUGAUGAAAGAGAGUUCUCGAAAGAUGCUCAAGAAUGAUGUCCCGGACGGUGGUUUUUGUAUACCUAAUUUUUGCUCCGACAAUAAUGAAAGUUCAACAAAGUUUCAAGUUUUCUGUUGGUGUUGU
RNAcentral lists this long non-coding RNA (342 nucleotides) under Daucus carota (carrot). RNAcentral's name for it is "long non-coding RNA (DCAR_LNC004620)". Lineage: Eukaryota; Viridiplantae; Streptophyta; Magnoliopsida; Apiales; Apiaceae. The record is from RNAcentral.